GGUCUUCGGAUGCUGACGAGUGGCGAACGGGUGAGUAAUACAUCGGAACGUGCCCGAUCGUGGGGGAUAACGAAGCGAAAGCUUUGCUAAUACCGCAUAAGAUCUAAGGAUGAAAGCAGGGGACCGCAAGGCCUUGCGCGAACGGAGCGGCCGAUGGCAGAUUAGGUAGUUGGUGGGAUAAAAGCUUACCAAGCCGACGAUCUGUAGCUGGUCUGAGAGGACGACCAGCCACACUGGGACUGAGACACGGCCCAGACUCCUACGGGAGGCAGCAGUGGGGAAUUUUGGACAAUGGGCGAAAGCCUGAUCCAGCCAUGCCGCGUGCAGGAUGAAGGCCUUCGGGUUGUAAACUGCUUUUGUACGGAACGAAAAGACUCUGGUUAAUACCUGGGGUCCAUGACGGUACCGUAAGAAUAAGCACCGGCUAACUACGUGCCAGCAGCCGCGGUAAUACGUAGGGUGCAAGCGUUAAUCGGAAUUACUGGGCGUAAAGCGUGCGCAGGCGGUUAUAUAAGACAGAUGUGAAAUCCCCGGGCUCAACCUGGGAACUGCAUUUGUGACUGUAUAGCUAGAGUACGGUAG
RNAcentral lists this ribosomal RNA (582 nucleotides) under Acidovorax sp. RNAcentral's name for it is "bacterial SSU rRNA". It matches the Rfam family "Bacterial small subunit ribosomal RNA", at positions 75 to 654 of the family's 1533-position model. The record is from RNAcentral. Lineage: Bacteria; Pseudomonadati; Pseudomonadota; Betaproteobacteria; Burkholderiales; Comamonadaceae.